This 91-nucleotide small RNA is filed under the name uncultured Treponema sp. RNAcentral's name for it is "TD-2 RNA". It matches the Rfam family "TD-2 RNA". From Rfam's summary of the family: non coding RNA found in Treponema denticola The record is from RNAcentral. Lineage: Bacteria; Pseudomonadati; Spirochaetota; Spirochaetia; Treponematales; Treponemataceae.
CGCCAUGGACGGCGGUGCUUACAUGCAGCAUCGAGUUUGUACAACAAACUCGAAGUUCAAAAAUAUACACGGACGUAUAUUUUUGAACGUA